This 535-nucleotide ribosomal RNA is filed under the name uncultured bacterium. Its description in RNAcentral is "bacterial SSU rRNA". It matches the Rfam family "Bacterial small subunit ribosomal RNA", at positions 409 to 928 of the family's 1533-position model. The record is from RNAcentral.
AGAAGGCCUUCGGGUUAGUAAACUGCUUUUGUCAGGGAAGAAAUCCUCUGGGUUAAUACCUCGGGGGGAUGACGGUACCUGAAGAAUAAGCACCGGCUAACUACGUGCCAGCAGCCGCGGUAAUACGUAGGGUGCGAGCGUUAAUCGGAAUUACUGGGCGUAAAGCGUGCGCAGGCGGUUAUGCAAGACAGAGGUGAAGUCCCCGGGCUCAACCUGGGAACUGCCUUUGUGACUGCAUAGCUAGAGUACGGUAGAGGGGGAUGGAAUUCCGCGUGUAGCAGUGAAAUGCGUAGAUAUGCGGAGGAACACCGAUGGCGAAGGCAAUCCCCUGGACCUGUACUGACACUCAUGCACGAAAGCGUGGGGAUCAAACAGGAUUAGAUACCCUGGUAGUCCACGCCCUAAACGAUGUCAACUGGUUGAUAGGACAGGCUUAGCUGCUACAGUACACGACAGCUAACGACGUGACAGUUGACCGCCUGGGGAGUACGGCCGCAAGGUUGAAACUCAAAGGACUUGACGGGGACCCGCACAA